AAAUAGAUAUUUCUAAAUCUACCUAUGCCUGUAGGCUGUGCCAAAACGGAUUUUAUUUAAUAUGUAUUCUUAAAUAUGUUUCGCCCCUUAAAGAGGAAAAUAUUAUAAACUAUUGGUUAAGGUUUAUAUAAAAUUGCUUUAAAUUUUUUUUAGAUGCAAUGGAAAAACUAACUUGCUAUGGUAUUAUCAUAAUGAUAGGAAAAUAUAUGCAUUCAAAGUAGGUAAAAAGUUUUUAAUGUCUGCAUUUCUUAUCUUUAUUGAACAGUAUUUGUCAGUCUUGCUUUUUAUUUACGUAGUUUUUUUUCACUUGCUCAACCCUGUGAAACUUUAUUUAAUAAUACCUCUAUUGCUAAUUUUUACCUUGAAGCUCAUAAAAAAAACUUACAUUUUACCUAAGCCUCUCGCACCGAAAUUUGACGAGCAAAUCAUUACGCUUUAAAUGUUUACAUGCAACAGUGAAUAAUUCAUCCACAGAAUACAAAUUUCAUGUGGUGCCAAUUGUUCUACUGUUAUAACUUCCGAAGAUGUGGACAGCGUUUCAGUCUUGUCAGCCAUACACAUACCAGUUGACGUUUUCUUACUGGAAAUAUAUUUAGCAUGUAAUAGUAUCAAUGAGUUCAUUUUCAUUUAACAUAUAAAGUCUAUGUACGGAAGGGCAGGAAUGACAGUACAUGUUCAGAAAGAAAAUGAAAAGUUGGCAUUAUUACUUGGUACAAGCUGAAUCAACAAACCAAGAAGUUUUCUAGUUCACUAUGUUAAAUAAUUUCAUAAUUGUUACAUUUCUUUGCUGUUGAGCUAUUAUGGUGCCCAUUUUAUUUUAAUAGGUGCAGACAAAUUAAUCUUGCCUUGCCCGAUUUCUGAUAGUCCUGCGACAUGAUGCUAACAAAUCGUAGUGCUAAAACUGAAUUCAUAGCGAGUCAGAGGGAAAUUAUUUAAGAGGGUGGCAAUAAGCUUUGUUAUUUCGCGCCUAUACGCGCAGACACUGAGACAUGUUCCCCGAUAUUUCUUCGUCUCCUACUUGACGUUUCUUCACAUUCUAAGCUGGUUCCUGCAAUUUUCUCUUUAUCUCAUCUUCACACAGACAUUACAGUCCAGUUCACCCAACUUUACGCUAGAAAUGAGCGCAGUGUCAUCAUAAUAUGAGGUUUACUCUAAAUUUCCCGCGGUGUCAAUGGGGGACAAAGCGACCAAGUUUCUCAUAAUUGACAACAUUAUGUUCUUAUAAAAACAGAAUGGAUAUUUGAGUAUUGCUCUUGUCUACAAAGCCUUUUCAAAAUGACCAAAAAUAGCCUUUUCAGUAAGCUUUUAAAGCAACUAUCAAUUGAUAUUUUCGAAACGUAAUACUGUCAGAACAUUCACGAACAUUUUAACUCUUUUAAUGCUUCAACAGAAAUGUUUAAAGUGUAAAAUUGUUGGCAUAAUCUUACAAGUCUUAGAGGUCUGUAUCAGAAAGUUGAACACCACAUGAUGAACACCUUUAAUAUGGAGCACUGAGCAUUGGAGUAUGUUUGAAUGAAUGAAGUUCUACAAUCACCGCAGAUGUCGCUGUCGUAAAACUUUUUAAUUUAAAUAAUCAGGGGAGUAACAUGUCACAAAAAUAUGUGGACAAUAAAGGUGGUACUUUCAAUUUUUUCAAUGAAAUUAUUUUGUGACAGCAACAAAAUUCACUGUGGUUGUAGAACUUAAUUUAAUUAAACAUAAUCCAGUUGUUAAGUGUUCCAUCUUUUAUACUUUCUCUAUUAAUUGCAAUAAAAAGAGUUACGCUCCAACUUCAAAGCCCUGGGAAGCACAUUAGACCAUAAGAAGUAAAGAUAUUUUCAACCUAUUUAAGCAUUUAACCUGCGGCUAAAGUUUGUCGGUCAAAUUCAGAGUCAAGCUGAUAAUAUAAUUUGAUAUGCAUCUUUUUACUAUGAACAUUCUAGGAACCCAUUAUUUUUCCUUUCAUGGCUCUUAUGUUUUUCCAGAAAGUUUCUAUUACCUAUAAUAAUUUCAAUUUCAACUAAGACGGUUUUCAGAAAAAAAAUAAUUAUUGACAGAUUCUGGUUUGUCUUUCCAUAGCAUUUGAGAAAAUCAAGUAUGGAAAAUUACAUACUUUAUGUGAUGGCCAUGACCAGCGAUGCACUUUUGGAGGCGUUCUUGAAAGUUAGCAUUCACUCUUUCCAACUUCAGUCGGCCGAUUUGGGCGGCUUCCACGCGAAUCGCUUCAUUAAAUUCCUCUGUUGUUUGGGGAUUGUGCUGGUAUACACGUGCGUGCCUUGAGGUGAUUCCACAAGAAUAAAUCGCACAUGGUUAAAUUGGGAGACAGAGGAGGCCAGUGAGCAUCACGAAACCUGGAAUUGGCGCGACGAGGGAAGAGAGGGUGAAUAAUGUCCAUUGAAGCUCUAGCUGUGUGGGCCGUUGCCCCAUCCUGGGAUAUUCGUCUUCGUAGUAAUUUAGGAAAAAAGAUGUUGUUGAUCAUCUCGACAUAGCACUCCGAGCUCAUGGUAACAGCAUUUCCAUUAUCGUCUGCAAAAAGGUAAGGGGCAAUGAUGCAAGUUGUGGCUAUAGCGCACCAAGCUGUCACUUUCAGGCUAUGCAGCGGUCUUUAGUGUAAAUCUCUAGGAUUUUCAUUAGCCCAAUAACGGCAGUUCUGUUGAUUCACCAUACCAUUGAGAUGAAAAUGAACAUCACUCACGAACAAAAUAAGAUUUUCAUUUUGUUGAAAAAUUGCUUCCAUCUGAAGCACGAAGGUCAGUUGUUGAGCGUAAUUCCCAGACUGCAACUGUUACACAAUGGCCAAUUUGUACGGGUGUAAAUGCAGCUCUAAAUGCAAAAUACGCCUUACUGAACGAUUACUCAGGCCAAGUUCAGCAGCAUGCCACCAAACAGAUCAAUCUGGACUGCGCAGAAGGGCUUAACGAACUACUUUUACAUUUUCAGGGGUUCAAGCCGUUCAUGGAGACUCUAGUGGUCUUCUGUUCAUCAAAACUCCUUGCGUACGAAGUGCUUCAACCCAACGAAGAAUGGUGUUUUUUACGGGAACAGCUUGGUUUCUGUGGAUGUUGAAGUGACGACGAAAUUUGCACUGAACUGCCGUGACUGACUAAUUAUUUCUGACAAAACUGUCGUAUGCAAAACUAUGGUGCUCUACUAUACACACGGCACCAUGACUUCAACUGAUAAACAAAUGCUAAGACCUCACAAACUUGUCGAGACUUGCCGCACAGCGCUCGCCCCAAUAGGAGGCCGUGGUGAACAAUGCUCUAUCACUCAAGAGGAAAAAAGAGGAAGUUUAUCCCUUGUCUCAUUGGAUUUCUCUAUAUCAACUUCCAUGAAGUACGGGAGCACGAAAAGUAUAGUGAGGUCCCUGUUCCGUUGUCGCCGACCACAGACCAGGCCGUGAUGAACUUCACCCUAGCCAGUGGCAGGGAACUCACACGCACAAACAACGUCUGCUCAUUCGUCUACCGGUAACUGUACGUACGCAAGCACCUGCAGUUGGAAUCAUAGUGAAAUCAUAUUGGAAUCAUAGCUUCCAAGUUAAAGCGUAAUGCAUCGUGUUCAAGUAUUUGAGACAAAACUAGAAGUAUUACUUUGUGCAGAAUGUCAUGAAGGUCACACUUAUGUUGGUUGCACUUUAGUUUUAAGCAUGUCAACUGUGCACACAAACGUAUGAAAUAAGGACUCUAUCAAACGUUUAUAAAAGUCUGAUGCUGUUGGUUGAACUAGUGGGAAUUUAUUUAUUAUUAGAUACUGGAACAGAAAUGAACAGAUGAUUCACAUGGAAAAGGUUGUUAAAUAAAUGGAUUGGUGUGAACCAAGCAGUGAUACGUGAAUAAGCACUUUAAUUUUUGAAAUAUUAUAAUGUAAAUAUCCAGACAGUAAUAUCAGUUUCAGUAAAGGAUGGUUUGAAACAAGAUGAAGGUCACACCCAGGCAGACAAGCCAACCAACCGACUAACGAUAAGUAUAUAACCACCUAUCUACCGUUACGCGGUGUUGUAUCUGUCAAUAUAUUCUAUGGUAGGCUUAUAAAGAUACAUAGUGUGACAUAUUUAUCGCUGAGUGUUAUUCCACAGAUUUAUAUUACGUAAAGAAUAUUUCCCUACACAUUUUGGAACACAUUAAGUAAAUUAGCCUUGCUAUUUAUGGAGACCAAUGCUUCAGAAUACGCAAUUUCGGAUAACACUAUCAUUUUUAGGAAUGCGUUCAUCGUGCUAAG
Long non-coding RNA from Bacillus rossius redtenbacheri, 4200 nucleotides. RefSeq lists it as uncharacterized. The transcript has 3 exons. Lineage: Eukaryota; Metazoa; Arthropoda; Insecta; Phasmatodea; Bacillidae. The record is from RefSeq and is a predicted model, not a curated record.